Molecule: ribosomal RNA, 484 nt
Filed under: uncultured bacterium
Lineage: Bacteria
Description: partial 16S ribosomal RNA
Rfam family: Bacterial small subunit ribosomal RNA
Source: RNAcentral
AUUGAACGCUGGCGGCAGGCCUAACACAUGCAAGUCGAGCGGAUGAAGGGAGCUUGCUCCUGGAUUCAGCGGCGGACGGGUGAGUAAUGCCUAGGAAUCUGCCUGGUAGUGGGGGAUAACGUCCGGAAACGGGCGCUAAUACCGCAUACGUCCUGAGGGAGAAAGUGGGGGAUCUUCGGACCUCACGCUAUCAGAUGAGCCUAGGUCGGAUUAGCUAGUUGGUGGGGUAAAGGCCUACCAAGGCGACGAUCCGUAACUGGUCUGAGAGGAUGAUCAGUCACACUGGAACUGAGAUACGGUCCAGACUCCUACGGGAGGCAGCAGUGGGGAAUAUUGGACAAUGGGCGAAAGCCUGAUCCAGCCAUACCGCGUGUGUGAAGAAGGUCUUCGGAUUGUAAAGCACUUUAAGUUGGGAGGAAGGGCAGUAAGUUAAUACCUUGCUGUUUUGACGUUACCAACAGAAUAAGCACCGGCUAACUUCGUG